This is a long non-coding RNA of Gallus gallus (chicken), 361 nucleotides long. RefSeq lists it as uncharacterized. NCBI's taxonomy places the organism in Eukaryota, Metazoa, Chordata, Aves, Galliformes, Phasianidae. The transcript is spliced from 2 exons. The record is from RefSeq and is a predicted model, not a curated record.
GCCCCCUUUGCCCAUCGCUCGGCCCAAGAUGGCGGCUCCCAGCGCGGCGUGAGAGAGCCGCGUUCCGGCUCCGCCCCGCUCCGACGGCAGCCGCGAGGGGCCGCGCUCCGCCGAACGCGGGAGGGGCGGACGGGGGCCGGGAGGGGCCGCGGGGCGCGCGAGCCCAGCAGCCCCAUGGCGGCAGCGGCUCCGGGCGGGGGGUCCCCGCUGCCCCCCCCCGCGUUGACGCCGCGUUGGAAGCGGGUGGUGGGGUGGUCUGGGCCCGUCCCCCGCCCCCGGCACGGGCACCGCGCCGUCGCCAUCAAGGAGCUCAUCGUGGUCUUCGGAGGAGGCAAUGAGGGCAUCGUGGAUGAGCUGCAUG